This is a long non-coding RNA of Zea mays, 553 nucleotides long. RefSeq lists it as uncharacterized. The record is from RefSeq and is a predicted model, not a curated record. Lineage: Eukaryota; Viridiplantae; Streptophyta; Magnoliopsida; Poales; Poaceae. The transcript is spliced from 5 exons.
GGUAUUCAGAUGAUCAAGCGUUUGCAGUUAACUUCGUUCUUGUCACCAACCUGAGCACUGCGGGUUACCAAAGGAGUUCUAGCAUGGAACUAUAUUCUGUUUUGCCAAUUUGACUGUACAAUAAACUCUGUCGCUUUGUGCUUCCAGCAAAUUGUGCCUCCUGUGCUUAAUUCUUUCCUGGACCAAGAUAGCAGAGUGCGUUACUAUGCUUGUGAAGCGCUAUACAACAUAGCAAAGGUUGUAAGAGGGGAUUUCAUCAUCUACUUCAACAAUUUUUGAUGCUUUAUGCAAGCUUUCUGCAGAUUCCGAUGCUAAUGUUCAAAGUGCAGCUCACCUUCUUGACAGGCUUGUCAAGGAUAUCGUAACCGAGAGUGACCAGUUCAGCAUAGAAGAAUUCAUACCGCUUUUGAGAGAGCGCAUGAAUGUGCUGAAUCCUUAUGUAAGACAAAUUUUGGUGGGGUGGAUAACAGUGUUAGACAGUGUUCCUGAUAUUGACAUGCUUGGUUUCCUUCCUGAUUUUCUCGAUGGUUUAUUCAAUAUGCUGAGUAAUUUG